CCGUGCUAGGCGGGGAGGUAGCGGUGCCUUGUCACCCGCAAUCCGCUCUAGCGGGGCCGAAUUCCCUUCGGAGGGCUCGGCCUUUGGGGUCAGUACGCCAGUUGAAGGCGUCGAUGGCCGGGUCCCGUGCGGUGAGCGAUCGCGAAUCAGGUCAGGUCCGGAAGGAAGCAGCCUUAAGCGGAGCCGCUCAUGCGUCGCGGACCAACCUGGCCGGAGCCGACGAAUGGCGGGCACGCCCGAAGGACCGUUUUCGAAGAUGGGUGCACGG
RNAcentral lists this signal recognition particle RNA (268 nucleotides) under Actinomycetota bacterium. RNAcentral describes it as "signal recognition particle sRNA large type". It matches the Rfam family "Bacterial large signal recognition particle RNA". From Rfam's summary of the family: The signal recognition particle (SRP) is a universally conserved ribonucleoprotein involved in the co-translational targeting of proteins to membranes. Archaeal SRP consists of a 7S RNA and homologues of the eukaryotic SRP19 and SRP54 proteins. The record is from RNAcentral. Lineage: Bacteria; Bacillati; Actinomycetota.